This 497-nucleotide ribosomal RNA is filed under the name uncultured bacterium. RNAcentral describes it as "partial 16S ribosomal RNA". It matches the Rfam family "Bacterial small subunit ribosomal RNA", at positions 28 to 507 of the family's 1533-position model. The record is from RNAcentral.
GAUGAACGCUGGCGGCGUGCCUAAUACAUGCAAGUCGAGCGAACGGACGAGAAGCUUGCUUCUCUGAUGUUAGCGGCGGGCGGGUGAGUAAAACGUGGAUAACCUACCUAUAAGACUGGGAUAACUUCGGGAAACCGGAGCUAAUACCGGAUAAUAUUUUGAACCGCAUGGUUCAAAAGUGAAAGACGGUCUUGCUGUCACUUAUAGAUGGGUCCGCGCUGCAUUAGCUAGUUGGUAAGGUAACGGCUUACCAAGGCAACGAUGCAUAGCCGACCUGAGAGGGUGAUCGGCCACACUGGAACUGAGGCACGGUCCAGACUCCUACGGGAGGCAGCAGUAGGGAAUCUUCCGCAAUGGGCGAAAGCCUGACGGAGCAACGCCGCGUGAGUGAUGAAGGUCUUCGGAUCGUAAAACUCUGUUAUUAGGGAAGAACAUAUGUGUAAGUAACUGUGCACAUCUUGACGGUACCUAAUCAGAAAGCCACGGCUAACUACGUG